AUGCUCACUUGCUGUUUUCUUACUCUUAGUUACCUGAUGUUUAAGAUUCAUCCACAUAACACUGAUACACUUCUGCUGUCACUUACUGUGUCUGCCUUGUGUGGGGCUUGGGUGUGGGCUCCCAGCUGGAGCUGUCUGAGGUGUCGUUGCCUUUCAGCUGUUUGCUAUGAGUGCUUGAUAUGGGAGAGGGAUAGCUCAGGCUGGGUUUUUGCCUGUGGCUGCUGCUGUAGGCUAGACUGCAAGACAGGAGCUGUGGGGAGCGUAGGGGUUUUUGUCAGCUUUGCACAGACCCCUUUCUGCAGGAACUGGAGGCUGUGUGAUUGGAGAGCGAUGCCACUAAUGGGAGCCUACUUGUACUUUGUCCAAAGGAAAGAGACAGCUCAGUGCUCUGUCAUUGCAGCGCAGCUGGAGCAGGCAGGGACGGGGAUGCCAAAGCACAGCUCGCUCCUCCUUGCUGCCACCGUGCUCAGGCAACACACACCAGGGAGCCCUUGCUGGGACCUCCUGUCUGUGGGUCUGCAUGGCCGUGGGAUGACCUGA
This 540-nucleotide long non-coding RNA is filed under the name Anser cygnoides (Swan goose). RNAcentral's name for it is "lncRNA (ENSACDG00005011727.1)". Lineage: Eukaryota; Metazoa; Chordata; Aves; Anseriformes; Anatidae. The record is from RNAcentral.